This is a long non-coding RNA of Asterias rubens (European starfish), 2485 nucleotides long. RefSeq lists it as uncharacterized. The record is from RefSeq and is a predicted model, not a curated record. NCBI's taxonomy places the organism in Eukaryota, Metazoa, Echinodermata, Asteroidea, Forcipulatida, Asteriidae. The transcript has 4 exons.
AUGCAUCCUUACUUGUUUGGGAGUGUGGAACAAACUUACACCAUCUGUUGGUGAAAAUGGCCGUUAUUUAUUGACCAACGGAUCUCCAUUCUAUUGGGUGAACUGUCUGUUGGUUCAUAUAACCCAACCGAAAUGGCCUCCCAAGUUGUUGGGAUAGACUUACAACAUUAUUAUGUGAGACUAAAAUCUAUAAGUAAUAUAAUAAUAAUCAAAGCACUUAUUAUUAGCGUUCUUAUGCAAAGGUAUCGCAACGCUUUACAUUAAUGUAUUAUAAUGAUUGUGGUAAUUACAUUUUAUAGUGCGGCCACGAUAACUUGGAUGUGUUCCAAAAAAUAAGUAAAUAUCUUCUCUACGAGAUGGGAAAAUCUCGAAUUUUUGCACUUUUUAAGUGUUUUUUUUAACCAUCAGAUUGGGAGACUGCAGUGGAAAAUUCCAAUGCCAUCACACAGCGUGCCAAACAAAGCGCGCGACGCGCUUUGCCGCCGACUAGCUGGUGUUAAAAAUAAAAGCAAAGCCGUACGUAUAUUAUGUACUUGUGUAGCACUAGUAGAAUGGAGGCGGUCAUGGUGGACAAGUCAGUUGGUGAGUUACUAGAAUCAUGGGGAGUAGGACAUCUGUUGAAUGUUUUUGAAGAGAAUCAGAUAGACAAAGCAGCUUUGGAGUUGCUUGACGAGGCAUCAAUACAAGAACUGAUACCAAAGAUUGGCACCCGACUCAAAUUUCUAAGAGGUUGGAGAUCGGAAUUGAGAAGAAUAAUUUAGCACUUCUAGUUCUGCCGGUACUACUUGGAGGAAGGGCUAAAGGCAAGUCUGGUGGACGGUGUGCUUUAGCACAGAGCUUGACAUCUUUCAUCCACCUCAAACCGGCUACAACCAACAUCGAGCAGUAUCUGGGGAACAUCAGUGAGAAGGACAAACCACAGCCCUACAUACUUGGCCUCUUUACUGGGAACAAGUUGCUGCCAAGCCAGACAUUUGUGGUAAUUGAAAGGCGUGCAGUGGAGUCUUCUUCAUUGCUUGAUGCAGUAGACAUUGCUUUUAAGGCGCAUUAUGUGCUAAAUCUCAGUUAUCAAGUGUCUGUUAAGGCAGUCUGGGAAUUUUUGCAGUGUGUUGUUUACAACCUGCCAGGAACCGCUCGCCCAGCAGUGCGCGAUAUCAGAGCUUUUCUGAUGAAUCACACAAAAAAUUCUGCUCAAAAGUAAUGAAAAGCACUUCUUUGGUUUUCAAAGACUAAUGGACGCCAAAUUUCUGUAAUUUUCAAGUUCCUUGUUCUCUAAAAAUGUUCAGUUAUCUCAGGAAUAAUUUAUCAGGCUGAUUUAAAUCUAAACGUUUACCAACUUCAGUAGUCUGAUGUUUUCAAUCAGUUUUUUUUUUAAGAUUCAGGAUCAUUUAAGUUUCAGGAUCUCAUGACAAAUAUAUAAGUUAAAUUCAUUACAAGUUUGUUUUCAUUUUUUGUUUUUUAUACAUCAGUUUAAAAAAAUAAUGGACCCCAAAUUUCUGUAAUCUUGUUCUCCAAAAAUGUUACUGGUUCUAUAAAGAUGGGUAUGAUGUCGCAAAAGUUGGAUUGCUCAUAUAAGCUUCAAUUUGGUAUUAUACAAAUAACAUUGUUUGGAGGAUUGUUAGAUGAUAUUAGUUCCCCAAGGAAGUUGACAAACUACCAAGUACUUCAUCAACUUCCAACCCAUAAAAACAUGUUAUUAUUAUUUUAUUAUACCUCAUACAUAUUCAGUGACAAUAACAACGUCGUGUUUAUCACUACUGGUUCGAACAUUCUUUAGCAAAACAACAUUGUAAAAACUCAUCCAAUUCAGUCACUGUAUACUGCUCCACAACUUUCACUUCAGUAUUUGUUUAAUACCAAAGUAGUGCAAGCUAACUUGAAUUACUUUUUGAAAUGAUAAAGCAUCUUUAUUAUCCUAGUAAGCCUAUUUCCAUAAUUUAUAACAAAAUGCUUGGAAAAUGCUUUUUUUUGCAAGUGUACAUGGCCAAAAACACUAGCAUUACUUCCUUUAGAGGAUAUGAUAGUCUUUACAGUAUGAGCAUGCGCACUUGCCACAUCCAAUCUUUUUCACAAAUAUUAAAUCAUCUCAGGAAUAAUUUAUCAGAAUGAUUUAAAUUUAAAGUUUUACAAACUUCAAUAAUCUGCUGCAAUUAGUUUGUUUCUGAUGAUGUACCAAUCAUUUGAGUGUAAGGAUCUCAUACCAGUAUAAUAGUUAAUUGUUGUCAUGUUUAUCAAAAGAGUGUAUCAUUAUAGUUUGUUUAAAAGGCAGAUUUUCUGUGCUAGCAAAGUAAGUGAGAAAUCCUUCAUUACCUGAAGUGUGUACACGCACAAGUAGAAUAGUCUUUGCUAACCCAUAAUUAUGCUUACACAGGCAUAGAAUAUUCGUCUAGUGUAAUUGCCAGUAUUUUGAUUAAUGACGGUAAGCAGUGUCAUUAAAUUGGGCUCUGUCUUCACAGUUAAUCUAAUCGAUGGCAUAAGAUUCCUC